CACUGGUACUCGAGUGGCGAACGGGUGAGUAACACGUGGGUGAUCUGCCUUGCACUCUGGGAUAAGCUUGGGAAACUGGGUCUAAUACCGGAUAGGAACCGUCUUUAGUGUGGUGGUUGGAAAGUUUUUCGGUGCAAGAUGAGCUCGCGGCCUAUCAGCUUGUUUGUGGGGUAAUGGCCUACCAAGGCGUCGACGGGUAGCCGGCCUGAGAGGGUGUACGGCCACAUUGGGACUGAGAUACGGCCCAG
RNAcentral lists this ribosomal RNA (248 nucleotides) under uncultured Actinomycetales bacterium. RNAcentral's name for it is "partial 16S ribosomal RNA". It matches the Rfam family "Bacterial small subunit ribosomal RNA", at positions 81 to 334 of the family's 1533-position model. The record is from RNAcentral. Lineage: Bacteria; Bacillati; Actinomycetota; Actinomycetes; Actinomycetales.